GCUGCUUAUUUAAUAAUUUUCAUUUGUGUAUAGAAUAAUGGAAAACAAACAAAGAAGGCUUCCAAAUUUCACUAGCACUGAGGAAAAUAUGUUAAUUACGUUGGCGGAGCGGCACGCAAAUCUUAUUGAAAAUAAAAAAACGGAUGCAGUGACCUGGGAGAAAAAGCGGAAGGCCUGGGAAACUAUCGACGUCGAAUUUGAGGCUCAAGUUGGAAUCAGGAGAGGUGCAAAAAAUUUACGCGAAAAAUAUGAGAACUUAAAGAGGAGGGCCAGAAAAUGCUUGGCGGAAGAAAAAAUGGAACUUUAUAAAACAGGAGGUGGAGUAUAUAAGCAGCGGCGGGACAUCAACACAGAAAGCCUUUCAAGAAAUCGAAUAUGUGGACGAUAUUAAUGGGGAUCUGCGCUCCGCUACCGAAACAAUCAAGGAAAGCCCGAUCAAAGACC
This 444-nucleotide unclassified non-coding RNA is filed under the name Rhagoletis pomonella (apple maggot). RNAcentral's name for it is "uncharacterized LOC118735028, transcript variant X1". The record is from RNAcentral. Lineage: Eukaryota; Metazoa; Arthropoda; Insecta; Diptera; Tephritidae.